UACGUAGGGUGCGAGCGUUGUCCGGAAUUAUUGGGCGUAAAGGGCUCGUAGGCGGUUUGUCGCGUCGGGAGUGAAAACACGGGGCUUAACUCCGUGCCUGCUUCCGAUACGGGCAGACUAGAGGUAUGCAGGGGAGAACGGAAUUCCUGGUGUAGCGGUGAAAUGCGCAGAUAUCAGGAGGAACACCGGUGGCGAAGGCGGUUCUCUGGGCAUGACCUGACGCUGAGGAGCGAAAGUGUGGGGAGCGAACAGG
Molecule: ribosomal RNA, 253 nt
Filed under: uncultured bacterium
Lineage: Bacteria
Description: partial 16S ribosomal RNA
Rfam family: Bacterial small subunit ribosomal RNA
Source: RNAcentral